CCUACGGGGGGCAGCAGUGAGGAAUAUUGGUCAAUGGACGAGAGUCUGAACCAGCCAAGUAGCGUGAAGGAUGACUGCCCUAUGGGUUGUAAACUUCUUUUAUAUGGGAAUAAAAUGUUCCACGUGUGGGAUUUUGUAUGUACCAUAUGAAUAAGGAUCGGCUAACUCCGUGCCAGCAGCCGCGGUAAUACGGAGGAUCCGAGCGUUAUCCGGAUUUAUUGGGUUUAAAGGGAGCGUAGGUGGAUUGUUAAAUCAGUUGUGAAAGUUUGCGGCUCAACCGUAAAAUUGCAGUUGAAACUGGCAGUCUUGAGUACAGUAGAGGUGGGCGGAAUUCGUGGUGUAGCGGUGAAAUGCUUAGAUAUCACGAAGAACUCCGAUUGCGAAGGCAGUUCACUGGACUGCAACUGACACUGAGGCUCGAAAGUGUGGGUAUCAAACAGGAUUAGAUACCCGAGUAGUC
This 460-nucleotide ribosomal RNA is filed under the name uncultured bacterium. RNAcentral's name for it is "partial 16S ribosomal RNA". It matches the Rfam family "Bacterial small subunit ribosomal RNA", at positions 338 to 795 of the family's 1533-position model. The record is from RNAcentral.